This 200-nucleotide ribosomal RNA is filed under the name uncultured organism. RNAcentral's name for it is "partial small subunit ribosomal RNA". It matches the Rfam family "Bacterial small subunit ribosomal RNA", at positions 1183 to 1382 of the family's 1533-position model. The record is from RNAcentral.
CGUCAAGUCCGCAUGGCCCUUACGCCUAGGGCUACACACGUGCUACAAUGGAUGUUACAAUGGGUAGCGAGACCGCGAGGUGGAGCCAAUCCCUCAAAAGCAUCCCCAGUUCGGAUUGGAGUCUGCAACUCGACUCCAUGAAGUUGGAAUUGCUAGUAAUCGCGGAUCAGCACGCCGCGGUGAAUACGUUCCCGGGCCUU